This 465-nucleotide ribosomal RNA is filed under the name Vreelandella stevensii. Its description in RNAcentral is "partial 16S ribosomal RNA". It matches the Rfam family "Bacterial small subunit ribosomal RNA", at positions 338 to 795 of the family's 1533-position model. Lineage: Bacteria; Pseudomonadati; Pseudomonadota; Gammaproteobacteria; Oceanospirillales; Halomonadaceae. The record is from RNAcentral.
CCUACGGGGUGCUGCAGUGGGGAAUAUUGGAUAAUGGGCGAAAGCCUGAUCCAGCCAUGCCGCGUGUGUGAAGAAGGCCUUCGGGUUGUAAAGCACUUUCAGUGGGGAAGAAAGCCUUGGGGCUAAUACCCUCGAGGAAGGACAUCACCCACAGAAGAAGCACCGGCUAACUCCGUGCCAGCAGCCGCGGUAAUACGGAGGGUGCGAGCGUUAAUCGGAAUUACUGGGCGUAAAGCGCGCGUAGGCGGUCUGAUAAGCCGGUUGUGAAAGCCCCGGGCUCAACCUGGGAACGGCAUCCGGAACUGUCAGGCUAGAGUGCAGGAGAGGAAGGUAGAAUUCCCGGUGUAGCGGUGAAAUGCGUAGAGAUCGGGAGGAAUACCAGUGGCGAAGGCGGCCUUCUGGACUGACACUGACGCUGAGGUGCGAAAGCGUGGGUAGCAAACAGGAUUAGAUACCCCGGUAGUC